UCCCAAGCUGCCUUCUCUUGAAGGAUUAC
This 29-nucleotide small RNA is filed under the name Bombyx mori (domestic silkworm). RNAcentral describes it as "piRNA piR-bmo-1464919". Lineage: Eukaryota; Metazoa; Arthropoda; Insecta; Lepidoptera; Bombycidae. The record is from RNAcentral.